Morus notabilis is the source of this 2031-nucleotide RNA transcript. It is a transcript of the gene named protein ROOT PRIMORDIUM DEFECTIVE 1, with no coding region annotated. The transcript is spliced from 3 exons. Lineage: Eukaryota; Viridiplantae; Streptophyta; Magnoliopsida; Rosales; Moraceae. The record is from RefSeq and is a predicted model, not a curated record.
UUUUAUUGAGAUCAGAUGUUCUACAAAAACCCUCCUAAAACCCUCUCACACAUCCACCUCUUCAUUCUGCCGGCCAGCUCGCCUUCCCCCACACCCCCCAACACCAGCCCAUGUCCCCUCUUCUUCGCUUCCUCAUCCGCUCUCUCCCACCUCACUCCCACCUCCACCGCCGCACCUUCGUCGACGCCGCCGCCUUCAAAUGCGUCCGCGACCGCGGCCUCGACCACGCCGUCGAGCGAGAGAAGAACCUCCUUCCCCUAAUCAACACUAAGAACCUCAUCAAAUUAGAGCCCUCCAAGUCCCUCCCCAUCUCCAUCAUCGCCGACAACAGAGCCUCCCUCAAGAUCCCCACCCGCCCCAUCGAGUUCAUCCGCCGAUACCCCUCCGUUUUUCGCGAAUUCUUCCCCGCCGGCGCCGCGUUUCAGCCCCACAUCAAGCUUACUGAUGAAGCCCUCGACCUCGACUCUGAAGAGCAGAUAAUGUUCCAGAGCGAGAGCUACAAGAAGGACGUCGCCGACCGGGUCUUGAAGCUCUUGAUGCUCUGCAGAGGCAACAAAUUGCCGUUGAAUGUGAUCGAAAACCUGAAAUGGGAUCUGGGUCUUCCUCCGGAUUACGAGAGGAGCCUUAUCCCCGAGUUUCCAGACUAUUUUCGAAUUGUGGGCCGGGAGGAAACGAGGGUGUUGGAGCUCGUUUGCUGGAUUGAUGAAUUGGGGACUUCAAUUAUGGAGAAGAAGGCGAUGGGCGGGGUUUCGGAUUAUGCCAAAGGGAUGCCUAUAGCGUUUCCUAUGCAUUUUUCUAAAGGUUUCGAGAUGGAUAAGAAGUUGAAGAAGUGGGUGAGCUAUUGGCAGAAGCUGCCUUACGUUUCUCCUUAUGAAAAUGCGGAUUACCUUUCCCCGAAAAGCGACGAAUCGGACAAGUGGGCGGUCGCGGUUUUGCACGAGCUUCUUCAUAUUUUGGUUCCGAAGAAGACGGAGAAGGAGAACGUGCUGUGCCUUGGCGAGCAUUUGGGGAUUCGGUCGCGGUUUAAGCGAGCAUCGCUUAACCACCCUGGUAUUUUCUAUCUGUCAAGUAAGAUUGGAACUUACACUUUGGUUUUAAAAGAGGGUUAUAAGAGAGGUUUAUUAAUUGAGAAUCAUCCUUUAACGAGUAUGAGGAGUAAGUAUAUUCACCUUAUGAACACUGUAAAAGAAGAUAGUAAGCUGAUAAGUGUGCCGGGUGGUAGUGGAAAUGCUAAAAAACAGAAGAACAUUGAUUCUGAAUCAAAAGGAGAAAUGGAUGGAAAAGAGGAAGACAAUGAAGGGGUAUUGUAUGACUCCUCUGAUGCUGAAGAGGCUGAAGAUGGCGCUCUGCGUGGUGUUGCGAAAAAUACUACGGCUGCAAAUAGUAGACUAAGAACAAGGAAAAAGGAUGCGAAAGGGCGAGUCGGAAAUCGUGAAAGAGGGAGAAGAUCGGCUGGAGAACGUUCUGGCAAGGCUGGAGAAAGAGUUUCUCCUAUGGUUUCUACGAGUAUGGAAAUGCAAGGCAGAGGUUCGAGAGCGAGGCUUAAUCUCUCUAAAAGCAGGGGAAGGGAGGCGCCAGCCAAAUUGCCAAGUUAGCUAAGAUACAGCUAAUUUGCUGCAAUAAUGUAUUUACAGGUCAUGGCCAAACCAAAUUAAUUUUUGCCCUUGUAAUUUCUGGCUCGUUGUAGUUUCUUUGAAGAAGAAAAUUACCAUUGGUUGGCAUUUCACUCUGUCUUUCCACUUCCCUAUAAAGCGGACACGAAACUCUCGGAUGUUUGUUUUGGCAUUUAUUAUGAAAGCCUGGAACAAGGGCUGGAUCAAACAGACAUUGGAACUGCUCUAAGGAAACACAGUUAGUUCAUGCUGGAGCAAAUCUUUCUUUUUGGCGGCAAUGCGGUUGUAAGACCGACCCGUCUUUUGAGAAAUAUCCUGCAAUGUCUUCAUUACCAUGGCUGGAUACUCCAUUUUCUCCUCUUGCUUGUGGUCAGGCUGUGUUGCAGGAAAGCAAGAGAAACCGUUGGGAAAAAGAAAU